This is a long non-coding RNA of Chroicocephalus ridibundus (black-headed gull), 783 nucleotides long. RefSeq lists it as uncharacterized. The transcript has 4 exons. The record is from RefSeq and is a predicted model, not a curated record. Lineage: Eukaryota; Metazoa; Chordata; Aves; Charadriiformes; Laridae.
UUAAAUCCUUGCACUGAAGUAUAUAUACCUUUUCUCUCUGUUCCUUUCAUCCAGAGACAAACCACAUCAUAAAGUAGGUAAGAAUCCCCCAGAAGCAGUACCGGCCUUGAGGAAAUGCUGGUGACUUUGGUUCUCUUUGCAGAGAGGCCGCGUGUCUUCCUGCUGAUUUCAGUGUCUGAUGAAGUGCAAAUCCCUGGAAAUGACACCAUGAUUUCCCAUCACUGCGCAGCGAUGUUCUCACAGUACAUUGUUAAAGCAGAGAGGAACUUUCAGCUUUAUUGGAGAUCUCACGUAGUCCAGAGCCAUUGCGAUUAACAGUCCACACAUCAGCAUGUCAGUAUAGAUCCACCAGAACAGAAAGAGCAAUUGUUCACCAGAUUCCAUAGGAUAUUCAGAUACCAGGCUCUUUACUGGUUAUGGAGAGAGAUUUAAAAAAAAUACACGGUUGUAAAUGGCAACAAGUCAAACUGGGCUUCUGACAAUAAAGGACAACACUUGGAAGGUUAGUUGAUGAAGCAGAUGAAGACAUUAAUUUUGAACAUUUGGACACCUGGAUUCAAAGUAAAAUAAUUUUGCAGUGCCAUCCAAGUUCUCAGCUGUCCAUUCUACAAAAUCUGGCAUAAGGAGGCUCUGGAGGGAUCCAGGAUCUGCAGAGCAGAAUUCAGUGUGUCUCAUCUUGCUGCUGGCUGCAUAAAGAUUCUGUCACUUCCACUAUUCGUAGCUGUUUUGCUCAACAAGUUGACUUGGCUCAACAGAGGGUGUGAAGACCUUGAUCUUCAGUGC